GCUGAGUGCAGUGGCCUUUACCUGUAAUCCCAGCAACUUGGGAGCCUGAGACAGGAGAAUUGCAAGUUGGAAACCAGUCUGGGCAACUUAGAGAGACCCUGUCUCAA
Molecule: small RNA, 107 nt
Filed under: Marmota monax (woodchuck)
Lineage: Eukaryota; Metazoa; Chordata; Mammalia; Rodentia; Sciuridae
Source: RNAcentral